Molecule: non-coding RNA, 82 nt
Organism: Tulasnella sp. 417
Lineage: Eukaryota; Fungi; Basidiomycota; Agaricomycetes; Cantharellales; Tulasnellaceae
Source: the annotation of a GenBank genome assembly
GCUCAAGUGGGGUAGUGGUAACCUGGAUCGUUGCCAUUGAGCAAUACUCGAUCCGCCAGGAGUUCGAUUCUCCUCUUGAGCA